UAAACAAUAAAAAAAAAGUGUAUGGAGGUUUUGCUGGCAUUUGUGUCUGUGUACCAUAUGUGCAGUGCCCAAAUAGACCAGAGAAGAGGGCACGGGAUCCCCGGAACUGAUGUUACAAGGGGUUGCGAGCGUGGGUGCUGAGAAUAGGAGCUGGGUUUUUGGGAAGAGCUGCCAGUCCUUCAGCCUUAUGGUGAUGUUGUUUGGAUAUCUCCACAGGUGACACUUUGUACUGUCUGGAGACGUUUGAUGCUGUCACAACUGGCGGAGGGGACCAGCGUUACUGCUGUUAACUGGAAUGUGACAACACAAAGAACAGCCUCUCAACCCCACAGAAUUACCUUGUUCAAAGCAUCACUUCUGAGCUUCAGAAGCUUUAGUCGAAGCGUGGACCAGGUCUUCACGGCUGUGGGUCCGGGCUCAGUCCCAUAAGAUGGAAGGCUAGCAAGUGGCAGAGAAGUCAGAAGGAAACAAUACAGAGUCAGUGGGCUCUGGGACACUGCACGUCCCAUGAACUCAGAAAGUGCCCUGGGCCUUCCACUCUUCAGUCUUCUGGGAAGAAGUCAUCUCUACUGGCAUUACAGACUCCUAGAGAAGAAAACAUUUUAAAAAGAAAGAAAAAUUAAAAGCAAAAAAAAAAAAAAAAAAAGUGAAAAAGCAAAACGAAUUAAAAAAAAAAUAAUGGCAAGGAACAUAGCUCCAUGGUAG
Molecule: long non-coding RNA, 705 nt
Filed under: Mus musculus (house mouse)
Lineage: Eukaryota; Metazoa; Chordata; Mammalia; Rodentia; Muridae
Description: lincRNA-EC158
Source: RNAcentral